GCGAACCCUGCGACGACGGCGUCAGCCUCCGAGCGCAGCCGAAGCGUGCGGCAUUGAUAAGAGACCCAGGCAUUGCUAGGAGAAUGCUGACUAAGAGACAACAGCCCGGUGACAGCAGGAACUUUCCAGACAGCGAGGUGGCCUUCUUUUGCACGUGACACGGAGCAGCAUCUGCAGAUAAGUCGAUGGCUGUGAGCCACAGAGGGGAUGAUAGUGGGGUGCUGGGUUGGGACUCACAGGGAGGGAUUUUUGAGUCUGCUUUGGAGUUGGGGAUGUCCAAGAAGUGGCCCCUUAGGCCACAGAAAAGCCAAGUGUCACUUUUGAUCACAAUGCUGAGGUGCUCAGGGCAGAGCAGUCCCGGAGGGUAUCGUGUCAGUUGUCUAUUGUGCGUUCUGUGUGUUUGGCUUUCUCAUGUCUUUUACCUUAGCCCUUUGAGGGGCCUAUCAGAAACCCUGGCAUCAUUCUUAGCAUCUGUGAUCUCUGCAUUUCUUGGCCUGGCACCAAUGCCACAGGACUUUUGACUCAGGAGCUCAGAUAGGUAUCAGAAUUGCACUUCUCUUUAGGAGCAUCCAGUCAGAUGUCUUUGCAGGUCUUGUUCUGAGCUGUAUGUACCUUGCAAGGAUCCAUUAUUGCAGAUUAGGACUUGUAAGAAUGCGAGGAUAGGUAGAGGAUUCUGACUAUAGAAUUCACAGGCAUCCAUCUUUGCAGUUCUUAAAACAAAUCAUUCAGUUAGCAUCUUCUUCCUACCAGGGCUCUCUGAGCCUCAUCGGCUCACCAUCGGUCUCACCUCAGUCCUCUCAUUUUGCAUUCUCUCAGUCCUUGCAGUCAUUCUUCUUGCCAAGAGAUUCCUGUCCCUGUUGUGUCCCCCUUGUUUGUCAUGUCGUGUCCUGUGUCACGGGUGUCUGCACAUAUUUGUGCCGGAGCUGCUCUGCCCUGCUGCAUAGCCUGGUGUAAUAGGACAAAUCCUGGGGGCUUGAAAUUUGUAGUGUGGGGUGUAGUUUGACUCUAGAUAGUAUUCCUAGGUUGACCCAAGCUUUCUGGAGCUGUGAAGUGGUCCUGCAGCCCUUUGACCUUUGUCCUAACUUUCUUUCAGAUGCAGACGGAUAAAAUCCAUGGCAGAGCAGCCCAUCUCAGGAAGUAAAGUGAUAGAGCAACAGUCAAGUUGAAGUGGUCAAGG
Molecule: long non-coding RNA, 1177 nt
Organism: Passer domesticus (house sparrow)
Lineage: Eukaryota; Metazoa; Chordata; Aves; Passeriformes; Passeridae
Exons: 3
Source: RefSeq, a predicted model, not a curated record